Misgurnus anguillicaudatus (oriental weatherfish) is the source of this 660-nucleotide non-coding RNA. NCBI's taxonomy places the organism in Eukaryota, Metazoa, Chordata, Actinopteri, Cypriniformes, Cobitidae. The record is from RefSeq and is a predicted model, not a curated record.
UAAAAAUCCAGAAGAAGAAGAUUCGAUUCAAAAGACUCGUAAAGGCUUUGAAGCCUCGCGAAGCAGUGUUUAAAGCGAUCGUCACUAGAGCCCGAUAUCUUUAGCCACGUGUAAGUGCUUCGGUGUGUACUUUGAAAUAAUUAAUCCGUCUUCGAUUAUUUUAUUGGUUUGUCAACAGAAGACAGGAUUUCUUAAUACGCUAACCGUUAGCAGUGAGAGAAAGUUGAAAAUCUGACCCGGACUCACUGUUGUCUCUGGAGCAGGGAUCAUUGUCCGGAAAGCGUCAUAAACAUCUCCUGACUCAUACAGUUGUGUACUUUGAGGCAAUGUUGACAGGAUGCUGCAGACUGUACGUUGGAACUUCACUUUCACAAGAAUCAAACGGAGAAAUUGGAAAUGGCACUAUUCUUUGUGAACGAACUUGGCCGUUAUGGGAAGCUAUUCAUAUGUAAACUGCAACAUCUGAAAUGUAUUUAGGCUGGGUUUUUUGUUCGACCCUAGAUGGUGUGGUGCCUUAUCUUAACAAUGUUACAAACAUUAAACCAGAGUUAAUUACAAUUUUAUGCUGUGAUCAAAGCUGUAUUUUAAUUUUUUUGUGCAAUAUUUUGCUCAUGAAAUUUUUGUUUUUAAAGAAAUAAAAAUUUGCCCAAGUCAUUUCAA